This 75-nucleotide transfer RNA is filed under the name Rhododendron simsii. It matches the Rfam family "tRNA". Rfam says of the family: Transfer RNA (tRNA) molecules are approximately 80 nucleotides in length. Their secondary structure includes four short double-helical elements and three loops (D, anti-codon, and T loops). Lineage: Eukaryota; Viridiplantae; Streptophyta; Magnoliopsida; Ericales; Ericaceae. The record is from Rfam by way of RNAcentral.
CGAGGUGUAGCGCAAUCUGGUCAGCGCAUCUGUUUUGGGUACAGAGGACCAUAGAUUCGAAUCCUGUCACCUUGA